GAUGUUCCUUCUUUUUCAUCCCCUAGCACAUUUCUCUUUGGCUCUCUAGCAAACAGUUGGUGUCCCCUAGAAACCUUGAGUUGGCAAACAGAUCCAAAGCGGUAGUGGCCUUUCACAGAGAUUGAUCCACAAGUAAUCAGGGAUUGCAGUGUACUCAUCUUUGCACAUGAAGGAGAGGAAGGACCUGAAGAUGUUGGUGGCUGUGAACUCCCUACUUUAACGAUAUUUGGGUCCUCCUUCGAACACAUCAAUCCACGAUUUCUCCUUCCUUCUCCGUUGUCGAUUUGAGUUGUAGCUUCCUGUGCUCCAUCGGGCUUGCGGAUCCUGGUUUCCGCCGAUGGGGCGGUUAUAAAACCAGGCGCUGGAGGAGGAGGAGGUGGUGGUGGUUGUUGCCUCAUGGGAUGCUUUGCCUCCUUAAGAACAACGGCUGUUGUGGAUGAAGAAGGGGAAGCUUCUUCGCCUUUGUGAGGUGGCUGUUGUAGAGGGUGUUUCAGGUUCUGGAUCUUGACAUUGCUCAUUCCGUGAUGGUUCCGAUCUAAAUCGAGCAAUGCAUCAUUCAAUCCGAUCAUAGCCUCUACCAAACAAAGAGAGAUGUAGACGGACAAUGUACCUGGAGGGGUUCGAUCCAAGAGCUCCGAACCCUUGAGUACAUACUCAUCGCCCUGCUCCGGCAGGAUCAGAUCGCCCUCGGAAAGGUCCUGCCACACGAAUCCGUUCUUGUAGCUCCUGCGCCAGUUUGGUGUAUCAUCGGUCAAUCAAAAACCUAAAUCUAGGGUCUCUGCAGUUCCUAAUUCUGCAUGCUCUGUUACCUCUUGCAAGACCAGGAGUACAUGGCCGCCAUCCCCUUCCCUCGCAGCACAUCGAGCCUGUCGACCACAUCUACAAACAACCCAACCAAGAAAUCAAGAAACAGAACACAGAUGAAAGCUCUCCUUUUUAUCCAACCAAGAUCGAUCCUUUUUACCUCUGAGGUAGAGCCCCGCAGGGGAGGAGAGCGGGACCUCCAUGAAGUGCGGUUGCUCGAGGUGGUGACUCCUGGAGAGGUAAUACACCACCGAAACCUUUCUCCCCUCCAGCUGCUGCGAUUGGUGCUUCGGUGGCGGCUCUGUCCACACUCUGGUUCUCUCCGGUCUGCCUUGCGCCGCGUGUCUUCUCAUCCUCGCGUCCAUUCUUGUCUCCUUCUUGGUUAACCAGUGCGGCGGCUGCUGCUUCUCAUCAUCAUGCGUCGGGGUCUGUCGGCAUUUAGUGGAGUGACUAGGGGCGGCAGGGAAUUCCGUGCGGCUCGAGGGCCCAAAGUGGCCAUCAUGAACAGGAGGAGGAAGACGACAUGGCGUUACACCACGUUGCACUUCAACCAGACAACUAGGUCUCUGUUUUGUUGUAUCUAGUGUAGAUGCGCUUGCUUUAGAUUGCUCGUCCUGGUUUUCAAGAUGGGGAGUUUAUGGACUGGGAAGAAGCUUGUGAACAGGGUUUGCUUGUUAUUGGCAGAUGUUACUAAGACUAAGAACAGAAUCUGGAAAAUUGUAUCCUUUUUUAUGGAUUUUAAGUUGAGAGAGGUAUAUAUAGUUCAACACCAUUAGCAGUCCAGCAGCUUCAUAUUUGCGGCAGCUGCAUGCCCUCUAUGGUGGUGGGACAAGAUCUCAAGGACUUCUCACUGGUUUCUUCUUCUUCUCAAAAGUGGAUGCUCUCUUCCUGUGGAACCACUCUCACUUUGGAUGUGGGUGAGCUGUGACCCUCUGAAACCCUCUUUGUUUCAC
This is a long non-coding RNA of Musa acuminata AAA Group (dessert banana), 1757 nucleotides long. RefSeq lists it as uncharacterized. NCBI's taxonomy places the organism in Eukaryota, Viridiplantae, Streptophyta, Magnoliopsida, Zingiberales, Musaceae. The transcript is spliced from 3 exons. The record is from RefSeq and is a predicted model, not a curated record.